Lycium ferocissimum is the source of this 106-nucleotide small nucleolar RNA. Lineage: Eukaryota; Viridiplantae; Streptophyta; Magnoliopsida; Solanales; Solanaceae. The record is from RefSeq and is a predicted model, not a curated record.
AACCCGUGAGUUGGAGAUUGAGUUAGAUAGUACUUGAACCUCUCCCAUGCAGAAUAUAAUUGUUCUCCCGGGAGCUGUUUGAACUUAAAGAUCUUAUCUCGAAGUU